UGGGAUAGCUCAGUCGGUAGAGCAACUGACUCGUAAUCAGUAGGUCGUAGGUUCGAUUCCCAUUCUCAGC
RNAcentral lists this transfer RNA (70 nucleotides) under human gut metagenome. It matches the Rfam family "tRNA". From Rfam's summary of the family: Transfer RNA (tRNA) molecules are approximately 80 nucleotides in length. Their secondary structure includes four short double-helical elements and three loops (D, anti-codon, and T loops). Further hydrogen bonds mediate the characteristic L-shaped molecular structure. tRNAs have two regions of fundamental functional importance: the anti-codon, which is responsible for specific mRNA codon recognition, and the 3' end, to which the tRNAs corresponding amino acid is attached (by aminoacyl-tRNA synthetases). tRNAs cope with the degeneracy of the genetic code in two manners: having more than one tRNA (with a specific anti-codon) for a particular amino acid; and 'wobble' base-pairing, i.e. permitting non-standard base-pairing at the 3rd anti-codon position. The record is from RNAcentral.